UACCAGCACCCCGAGUGGUCGGGACGUUUAUUGGGCCUAAAGCAUCCGUAGCCGGUUCUACAAGUCUACCGUUAAAUCCACCUGCUUAACAGAUGGGCUGCGGAAGAUACUAUAGAGCUAGGAGGCGGGAGAGGCAAGCGGUACUCGAUGGGUAGGGGUAAAAUCCGUUGAUCCAUUGAAGACCACCAGUGGCGAAGGCGGCUUGCCAGAACGCGCUCGACGGUGAGGGAUGAAAGCUGGGGGAGCAAACCGG
Molecule: ribosomal RNA, 253 nt
Filed under: uncultured bacterium
Lineage: Bacteria
Description: partial 16S ribosomal RNA
Rfam family: Archaeal small subunit ribosomal RNA
Source: RNAcentral